RNAcentral lists this ribosomal RNA (509 nucleotides) under uncultured bacterium. RNAcentral's name for it is "bacterial SSU rRNA". It matches the Rfam family "Bacterial small subunit ribosomal RNA", at positions 30 to 526 of the family's 1533-position model. The record is from RNAcentral.
AUUGAACGCUGGCGGCAGGCCUAACACAUGCAAGUCGAACGGUAACAGGAAGCAGCUUGCUGCUUUGCUGACGAGUGGCGGACGGGUGAGUAAUGUCUGGGAAACUGCCUGAUGGAGGGGGAUAACUACUGGAAACGGUAGCUAAUACCGCAUAACGUCGCAAGACCAAAGAGGGGGACCUUCGGGCCUCUUGCCAUCGGAUGUGCCCAGAUGGGAUUAGCUAGUAGGUGGGGUAAAGGCUCACCUAGGCGACGAUCCCUAGCUGGUCUGAGAGGAUGACCAGCCACACUGGAACUGAGACACGGUCCAGACUCCUACGGGAGGCAGCAGUGGGGAAUAUUGCACAAUGGGCGCAAGCCUGAUGCAGCCAUGCCGCGUGUAUGAAGAAGGCCUUCGGGUUGUAAAGUACUUUCAGCGGGGAGGAAGGGAGUAAAGUUAAUACCUUUGCUCAUUGACGUUACCCGCAGAAGAAGCACCGGCUAACUCCGUGCCAGCCGCCGCCGUAACAC